This 253-nucleotide ribosomal RNA is filed under the name uncultured bacterium. Its description in RNAcentral is "partial 16S ribosomal RNA". It matches the Rfam family "Bacterial small subunit ribosomal RNA", at positions 524 to 776 of the family's 1533-position model. The record is from RNAcentral.
UACGGAGGGUGCAAGCGUUAUCCGGAUUCACUGGGUUUAAAGGGUGCGUAGGUGGGUCUGAAAGUCAGUGGUGAAAUCUCCGUGCUUAACAUGGAAACUGCCAUUGAUACUUCAGGUCUUGAAUUUUCUGGAGGUAAGCGGAAUAUGUCAUGUAGCGGUGAAAUGCUUAGAUAUGACAUAGAACACCAAUUGCGAAGGCAGCUUACUACGGGAAUAUUGACACUGAGGCACGAAAGCGUGGGGAUCAAACAGG